RNAcentral lists this ribosomal RNA (277 nucleotides) under Muribaculum intestinale. RNAcentral describes it as "partial 16S ribosomal RNA". It matches the Rfam family "Bacterial small subunit ribosomal RNA", at positions 524 to 801 of the family's 1533-position model. Lineage: Bacteria; Pseudomonadati; Bacteroidota; Bacteroidia; Bacteroidales; Muribaculaceae. The record is from RNAcentral.
UACGGAGGAUGCGAGCGUUAUCCGGAUUUAUUGGGUUUAAAGGGAGCGCAGGCUGCGAGGCAAGUCAGCGGUCAAAUGUCGGGGCUCAACCCCGGCCUGCCGUUGAAACUGUCUUGCUAGAGUUCGAGUGAGGUAUGCGGAAUGCGUUGUGUAGCGGUGAAAUGCAUAGAUAUGACGCAGAACUCCGAUUGCGAAGGCAGCAUACCAACUCGCGACUGACGCUGAGGCUCGAAAGCGUGGGUAUCGAACAGGAUGAGAUACCCCGGUAGGACUGACU